UACGUAGGGUGCAAGCGUUGUCCGGAAUCAUUGGGCGUAAAGGGCGCGUAGGUGGCGGGACAAGCGUGCGGUGAAAGCUCGGGGCUCAACCCCGAGUCGGCCGUGCGAACUGUCUUGCUUGAGCACUGUAGAGGCAGGCGGAAUUCCGGGUGUAGCGGUGGAAUGCGUAGAGAUCCGGAAGAACACCGGUGGCGAAGGCGGCCUGCUGGGCAGUUGCUGACACUGAGGCGCGACAGCGUGGGGAGCAAACAGG
Molecule: ribosomal RNA, 253 nt
Filed under: uncultured bacterium
Lineage: Bacteria
Description: partial 16S ribosomal RNA
Rfam family: Bacterial small subunit ribosomal RNA
Source: RNAcentral